UAGCAUAAGCUAGUAUCGCUGCGUGAAUACAUAGCGCAGCGAGGCGAACCGGGGGAACUGAAACAUCUAAGUACCCCGAGGAAAAGAAAUCAACCGAGAUUCCGAAAGUAGCGGCGAGCGAAAUUGGACUAGCCCUUAAGCUUUAUAUGCGUUAGACGAACGGUCUGGAAAGUCCGGCGAUACAGGGUGAUAGCCCCGUAGUUGACAACGCACAUUCAGUGAAAUCGAGUAGGGCGGGACACGUGAUAUCCUGUCUGAA
This 259-nucleotide ribosomal RNA is filed under the name Vibrio parahaemolyticus. Its description in RNAcentral is "partial 23S ribosomal RNA". It matches the Rfam family "Bacterial large subunit ribosomal RNA", at positions 136 to 442 of the family's 2925-position model. Lineage: Bacteria; Pseudomonadati; Pseudomonadota; Gammaproteobacteria; Vibrionales; Vibrionaceae. The record is from RNAcentral.